CCUACGGGUGGCAGCAGUGGGGAAUAUUGCACAAUGGGGGAAACCCUGAUGCAGCGACGCCGCGUGAGGGAGGAAGUAUUUCGGUAUGUAAAGCCCUAUUAGAAGGGACGAAAAAAGACGGUACCUGCCUAAGAAGCCCCGGCGAAAUACGUGCCAGCAGCCGCGGUAAUAGGUAGGGGGCAAGGGUUACCCGGAUUUACUGGGUGUAAAGGGAGCGUAGACGGCAAGGCAAGCCAGAAGGGAAAGGGCAGGGCUCAAACCGGUACAUGCUUUUGAAACUGGGGUGCUGGAGUGCGGGAGAGGUAGGUGGAAUGCCUAGUGUAGCGGUGAAAUGCGUAGAUAUUGGGAGGAACACCAGUGGCGAAGGCGGCUUACUGGACUGAAACUGACGUUGAGGCUCGAAAGCGUGGGGAGCAAACAGGAUUAGAUACCCUAGUAGUC
Molecule: ribosomal RNA, 441 nt
Filed under: uncultured bacterium
Lineage: Bacteria
Description: partial 16S ribosomal RNA
Rfam family: Bacterial small subunit ribosomal RNA
Source: RNAcentral